RNAcentral lists this ribosomal RNA (787 nucleotides) under Escherichia coli. RNAcentral describes it as "bacterial SSU rRNA". It matches the Rfam family "Bacterial small subunit ribosomal RNA", at positions 34 to 810 of the family's 1533-position model. Lineage: Bacteria; Pseudomonadati; Pseudomonadota; Gammaproteobacteria; Enterobacterales; Enterobacteriaceae. The record is from RNAcentral.
CCCCCGGGCGGCAGGCCUAACACAUGGCAAGUCGAACGGUAACAGGAAGAAGCUUGCUUCUUUGCUGACGAGUGGCGGACGGGUGAGUAAUGUCUGGGAAACUGCCUGAUGGAGGGGGAUAACUACUGGAAACGGUAGCUAAUACCGCAUAACGUCGCAAGACCAAAGAGGGGGACCUUCGGGCCUCUUGCCAUCGGAUGUGCCCAGAUGGGAUUAGCUAGUAGGUGGGGUAACGGCUCACCUAGGCGACGAUCCCUAGCUGGUCUGAGAGGAUGACCAGCCACACUGGAACUGAGACACGGUCCAGACUCCUACGGGAGGCAGCAGUGGGGAAUAUUGCACAAUGGGCGCAAGCCUGAUGCAGCCAUGCCGCGUGUAUGAAGAAGGCCUUCGGGUUGUAAAGUACUUUCAGCGGGGAGGAAGGGAGUAAAGUUAAUACCUUUGCUCAUUGACGUUACCCGCAGAAGAAGCACCGGCUAACUCCGUGCCAGCAGCCGCGGUAAUACGGAGGGUGCAAGCGUUAAUCGGAAUUACUGGGCGUAAAGCGCACGCAGGCGGUUUGUUAAGUCAGAUGUGAAAUCCCCGGGCUCAACCUGGGAACUGCAUCUGAUACUGGCAAGCUUGAGUCUCGUAGAGGGGGGUAGAAUUCCAGGUGUAGCGGUGAAAUGCGUAGAGAUCUGGAGGAAUACCGGUGGCGAAGGCGGCCCCCUGGACGAAGACUGACGCUCAGGUGCGAAAGCGUGGGGAGCAAACAGGAUUAGAUACCGGGGUUUAAAUUCAAAAAAAA